CAAGUAAACCGGGUAGCCGCCCUGUAAAUCGGGGAGGAAAGUCCGAGCUCCACCGGGCAGGAUGCUGGGUAACGCCCAGGAGGGGUGACCCUACGGAGAGUGCCACAGAAACAUACCGCCCUGCGUCAGCGGGGUAAGGGUGAAAUGGUGGGGUAAGAGCCCACCAGCGACCGGGUGACCGGUCGGCUGGGUAAACCCCAUCCGGAGCAAGGCCGAAUAGAGGGACAUAAGGACGCCCGGCCUGUCCCCGGGUUGGCCGCAUGACCCUGGUGGUAACAUCAGGGCUAGAUAGAUGGCUACCGUCCUUCCCGCAAGGGAAGGAUACAGAACUCGGCUUACAGGUUUGCUUGAUCC
This 354-nucleotide RNase P RNA is filed under the name Dehalococcoidia bacterium. RNAcentral describes it as "RNase P RNA component class A". It matches the Rfam family "Bacterial RNase P class A". From Rfam's summary of the family: Ribonuclease P (RNase P) is a ubiquitous endoribonuclease, found in archaea, bacteria and eukarya as well as chloroplasts and mitochondria. Its best characterised activity is the generation of mature 5'-ends of tRNAs by cleaving the 5'-leader elements of precursor-tRNAs. Cellular RNase Ps are ribonucleoproteins. The record is from RNAcentral. Lineage: Bacteria; Bacillati; Chloroflexota; Dehalococcoidia.